GAGGGUAUAGCUCAAAUGGUAGAGCACAUGCUUAGCAUGCAUGAGGUCCUGGGUUCGAUACCCAGCACCUCUG
This 73-nucleotide transfer RNA is filed under the name Camelus bactrianus (Bactrian camel). It matches the Rfam family "tRNA". Rfam says of the family: Transfer RNA (tRNA) molecules are approximately 80 nucleotides in length. Their secondary structure includes four short double-helical elements and three loops (D, anti-codon, and T loops). Lineage: Eukaryota; Metazoa; Chordata; Mammalia; Artiodactyla; Camelidae. RNAcentral also lists the same sequence under 2 other names. The record is from Rfam by way of RNAcentral.